Molecule: ribosomal RNA, 570 nt
Filed under: Cryptosporidium parvum
Lineage: Eukaryota; Apicomplexa; Conoidasida; Eucoccidiorida; Cryptosporidiidae
Description: SSU rRNA
Rfam family: Eukaryotic small subunit ribosomal RNA
Source: RNAcentral
CCUAUCAGCUUUAGACGGUAGGGUAUUGGCCUACCGUGGCCAUGACGGGUAACGGGGAAUUAGGGUUCGAUUCCGGAGAGGGAGCCUGAGAAACGGCUACCACAUCUAAGGAAGGCAGCAGGCGCGCAAAUUACCCAAUCCUAAUACAGGGAGGUAGUGACAAGAAAUAACAAUACAGGACUUUUUGGUUUUGUAAUUGGAAUGAGUUAAGUAUAAACCCCUUUACAAGUAUCAAUUGGAGGGCAAGUCUGGUGCCAGCAGCCGCGGUAAUUCCAGCUCCAAUAGCGUAUAUUAAAGUUGUUGCAGUUAAAAAGCUCGUAGUUGGAUUUCUGUUAAUAAUUUAUAUAAAAUAUUUUGAUGAAUAUUUAUAUAAUAUUAACAUAAUUCAUAUUACUAUAUUUUUUAGUAUAUGAUAUUUUACUUUGAGAAAAUUAUAGUGCUUAAAGCAGGCAUAUGCCUUGAAUACUCCAGGAUGGAAUAAUAUUAAAGAUUUUUAUCUUUCUUAUUGGUUCUAAGAUAAGAAUAAUGAUUAAUAGGGACAGUUGGGGGCAUUUGUAUUUAACAGUCAGA